AGAAUACUGAUAAUCUAAGCAAGGAGUAAGUGAAGCUCCCAGCCUCAGUGCUCGGCAGUGGGCACAUCUGAUGUGGCUUCAAUCCUCCUCGGGGCCUGGGUGCUGCUGUUGAUAGUAUUAUGCACAAAAUUUCAAAGUGACAGAGAAAUACCAGCUGGCUAGAAAAACAACAUAGUGAAGACAGAGGACACAUGGACAGGGCACCAGAAAGAUUCACUAUGUUCACCUGGAAAGACUGAGCAGCAACCUUGAGUAAGAGGAACAAGGCUGGAGGCAUCGCGCUACCUGAUUUCAAGUUUUCUUACUGGGUGUAGUGGUCAGGGCAGCGUAGGAUAAAAUGCACUUGUAGACCAAUGGAGCAGAAUGAGUAGCCCAGAGAUAAACCUACAGACGCACAGUCCUGAUUUUCUAUGAAAGCAUCAAGAAUACACAAUAUUUGGGGUGGGAAGAUUCGGCCUCUUCGAUAAAAGCUGUUGGGAGGACUGAUAUCCACAUUAUGCAGAAGAGUGAAGAGUUGGAUCUUCAUGACACAUCAUGCAAGGAAUCCAACUUGGGAUGGAAUAAAGGUUAAACUUCAGGACCCAAAACCAUGGAAUUUCCAUAAGAAAACCCAGGGAAAUGCCUCGUGACAUUGGCCAAGACAAUAACUUUUGGAUAUGACACCAAAAGCACAGGCAACAAAAGCAAAAAUAAGCAAGAUUUCAUCCAAUGAAAAUGCUUCUGUACUGCAAGCAAUCAAUGGAUGAAAAGCAAACUAUAAAAUGGGAGCAAAUAUUUGCAAAACAUGCAUCUGAUGAAGGGUUAAUAUCCAAAAUACACAAGAACUCACACAAUAGCAGGGGGAAAGAAGAGUGACCUGAUUGAAGAUGGGCAAGGGUGGACUUUUCUUCUCCCAGGGGAACAGAGGGUUAGCCAAUAGGCGUUUACAAGGGAAAGCUCAGAAUCUCUGGGCAUUAGUGAAAUGCAAACCAGAGCCACAGUGCACCUCACACCUGUUAAGAUAACUAUCAUUUAAAAAAACAAGAUGCAAGUGUCCGCCAUGAUGUGGAGAAAGGGGAGCCCUUGCA
RNAcentral lists this long non-coding RNA (1067 nucleotides) under Marmota monax (woodchuck). The record is from RNAcentral. Lineage: Eukaryota; Metazoa; Chordata; Mammalia; Rodentia; Sciuridae.